RNAcentral lists this ribosomal RNA (135 nucleotides) under uncultured Bacillus sp. RNAcentral describes it as "partial 16S ribosomal RNA". It matches the Rfam family "Bacterial small subunit ribosomal RNA", at positions 381 to 507 of the family's 1533-position model. The record is from RNAcentral. Lineage: Bacteria; Bacillati; Bacillota; Bacilli; Caryophanales; Bacillaceae.
GUCUGACGGAGCAACGCCGCGUGAGUGAUGAAGGCUUUCGGGUCGUAAAACUCUGUUGUUAGGGAAGAACAAGUGCUAGUUGAAUAAGCUGGCACCUUGACGGUACCUAACCAGAAAGCCACGGCUAACUACGUG